AGAGGGGAGAGGGUUUCCUACGGGGGGGCAGCAGUGCCGAAUAUUGCACAAUGGGCGCAAGCCUGAUGCAGCCAUGCCGCGUGUAUGAAGAAGGCCUUCGGGUUGUAAAGUACUUUCAGCGGGGAGGAAGGGAGUAAAGUUAAUACCUUUGCUCAUUGACGUUACCCGCAGAAGAAGCACCGGCUAACUCCGUGCCAGCAGCCGCGGUAAUACGGAGGGUGCAAGCGUUAAUCGGAAUUACUGGGCGUAAAGCGCACGCAGGCGGUUUGUUAAGUCAGAUGUGAAAUCCCCGGGCUCAACCUGGGAACUGCAUCUGAUACUGGCAAGCUUGAGUCUCGUAGAGGGGGGUAGAAUUCCAGGUGUAGCGGUGAAAUGCGUAGAGAUCUGGAGGAAUACCGGUGGCGAAGGGGGCCCCCUGGACGAAGACUGACGCUCAGGUGCGAAAGCGAUGGGGAGCAAACAGGAUUAGAUACCCCGUGUAGUCAAAAGCCCGCGACCUGCCGUU
RNAcentral lists this ribosomal RNA (505 nucleotides) under uncultured Escherichia sp. RNAcentral's name for it is "bacterial SSU rRNA". It matches the Rfam family "Bacterial small subunit ribosomal RNA", at positions 322 to 824 of the family's 1533-position model. Lineage: Bacteria; Pseudomonadati; Pseudomonadota; Gammaproteobacteria; Enterobacterales; Enterobacteriaceae. The record is from RNAcentral.